AUAUUUCGGAACUGAGUCUAGUUCCUUCGAUAUCAAUGCAAUCUAGUCAUACCAACACAGAAAAAUUCAUAUUACUAGAUUGCAUUGAUAUCGAAGGAACUAGACUCAGUUCCGAAAUAU
Paramuricea clavata is the source of this 120-nucleotide non-coding RNA. The record is from the annotation of a GenBank genome assembly. NCBI's taxonomy places the organism in Eukaryota, Metazoa, Cnidaria, Anthozoa, Malacalcyonacea, Plexauridae.